RNAcentral lists this ribosomal RNA (498 nucleotides) under uncultured bacterium. RNAcentral describes it as "SSU rRNA". It matches the Rfam family "Bacterial small subunit ribosomal RNA", at positions 26 to 521 of the family's 1533-position model. The record is from RNAcentral.
AGAACGAACGCUGGCGGCGUGGAUAAGACAUGCAAGUCGAGCGGGAUUUCCUUUAGUAGCAAUACCGAAGGAAGUCUAGCGGCGAACGGGUGCUUAACACGUGGGCAACCUGCCAAGAAGUGGGGGAUAGCUCGCCGAAAGGCGAAUUAAUACCGCAUGUGAUUAGAGUGGACAUCCAUUCGAAAUUAAAGUCGGGGCAACCUGACGCUUUUUGUGGGGCCCGCGGCCUAUCAGCUAGUUGGUGAGGUAACGGCCCACCAAGGCUUUGACGGGUAGCUGGUCUGAGAGGACGACCAGCCACACUGGGACUGAGACACGGCCCAGACACCUACGGGUGGCAGCAGUCGAGAAUUUUUCUCAAUGGGGGAAACCCUGAAGGAGCGACGCCGCGUGGAGGAUGAAGGUCUUCGGGUUGUAAACCUCUUUCAGCAGGGACGAAGCGAAAGUGACGGUACCUGCAGAAGAAGCACCGGCCAACUACGUGCUAGCAGCCGCGGU